Molecule: long non-coding RNA, 246 nt
Filed under: Homo sapiens (human)
Lineage: Eukaryota; Metazoa; Chordata; Mammalia; Primates; Hominidae
Description: HSALNT0320699
Source: RNAcentral
CAAGAAUGAAUACUUGGGUAUAAUCUGCUCUUGCUGUUGGGUAAGGCAGUUCCUCUCUGAUGCCCUGCUCUCAGCAUUUGUAUUCUCUGGCAGCUCUUCAGAUGAGGAAGCUGAGACACAAUCACGGAAGAGCAAGAUUUAAAAGCCGGCAGUCUGACUCCUGAUCUCUCACUCAUCCACUACUGUAGACAGCCUUCUCUGUGUUUCAUUAGCACAUAACAAGAAUUCAUGCUCUCGGAGUACAAA